This 2772-nucleotide long non-coding RNA is filed under the name Pan troglodytes (chimpanzee). Its description in RNAcentral is "lincRNA". Lineage: Eukaryota; Metazoa; Chordata; Mammalia; Primates; Hominidae. The record is from RNAcentral.
AAAUUCAUUUUACUUCGACAAAGGUUGAAGUAUGUAGCAGGCGAGCGGCAGGGACAAGUGCAGCUAUCUCUUUGAUCACAUCGCUUUAACCAUUUUUCAGCUUUAAGCUUGUCUUACAAAUCAGCUCUAUCAGUCUAUUAAUUGUUUCACUGUACCUAAUAUCUUACACGAAGGCACCUUGAAAAACAGCAGGAGAAAGCACAUUUGUUUAAGUCCUGCGAUGGCUAGCACGGCAGCUAAUCUCCUUGCAAAUUAUAAUCAUAGUUGUAGUUCAUCCAUUAGGCUGGAAAAGACAAGAUUCCCAAGUGGCCUUGGUGCCUUUUCCAGUUCCCGGGAGACCCACCAACCCUCGGCGUGUGUUGCCUGCGCACCCGGAGCGUUCUUGCUAAUCAGGUCAAUGAUUAGCGCCUGGCUCCAGGGACCUGCCAAGAGUGUUAGGGAGCCUCCAAACGGAGCACGCUCACGGAGAAUCUCCCGUUCAGAAACAUCGCUUAGUCCUCAUUUACUCACUGGGAACCUCGGAGGAUUUCAGCUGAUGUUUUUCUCUCCUUAGACAGUGAGGAGCUCAACAUAACAGGGAAAAGGAGCACAGGAUGCAGCUACUUCGAGGGUGUUGAUUGAAAACUUCGAUCUCCCCACCCCAUCAUUGAUGGUUGAUUUGACGGAUUUCUCACCUCUUUCACAGAGAAAAUUUCAAUUAAGGCACAUGGAGACGGACCUCUACCUGCAAUGCCCCCCUUGCACUUGGACAGAACCAUGUGACUAUUUAUAAGCUAUGACACAUGAGCAGACAUGACAUGACGGGAUUGAUGGAGCAAUGACCUCAUCUUUUCUCCUGCCAAAUAUUAUGAAAGAGGACUCAAGUCACUCACCUAAGGGACACUGGGUGAAAGUCAGUAAUGAAGCUGAAAGGUCGCUAAAUGCUGGCAAGUGAGAUAGAUUAUAGUGUCUAGACUUUUUCCUGAGGUCAUUCUAUAUCCAGCAGAUGUCUUUCAGUAUAUAGUCUAUUCAAAACAAUGUGCUAGUGACUAUUGAGUGUGGUUACAGUCUUUUUUUUUUUUUUUUUUUUUGAGAUGGAGUCUCACUCUGUCCCCUAGGCUGGAGUGCAGUGGCACAAUCUUGGCUCACUGCAACCUCUGCCUCCUGGGUUCAAGCAAUUCUCCUGAGUCAGCCUCCUGAGUAGCUGAGACUAUAGGCACCCACCAUCAGGGCCGACUAAUUUUUGUAUUUUUAGUAGAGAUGGGGUUUCACCAUAUUGGCCAGGCUGGUCUUAAACUCCUGACCUUGUAAUCUGCCCGCCUUGGCUUCCCAAAGUGCUGGGAUUACAAGAGUGAGCCACCAAGCCCAGCCAGUUACAUUCUUUAAACAAGGAGUGGACGUACCCUGAAACAAGACAUUAGUCAAAGAGAUUUUGCUAUUCAUGGGACCUAAAAGGUGGCUGUACUUCCCUUUACUGCUUUUCCAUACACAGCAAUGCAUGCUGUAUGGGUUCUUAUAGGUCAGAGAGUGAAAGAGAACCAGGACCUAUAAAAGAAUACAAGUCUCUAAAAUCAGAAAGUUUAUUAUUUAAAAAAAUAGUUAUGUGCCAGUCUGCUUAUAAUUUUAUUUUUAUGACUGAGAGUGCCUUUCAUAAGCACAUUCUGGCAAACUAUAAAACAAAUAAAUUGAAAUUGAAUAAAACCUUUAGACAUUAGAAGUGUAGCACCAGAUUUGGUACAUAACUGCAAAACUUAAACAUGCAAUUUUACAUCUGCAAGCACAUUAAAUUGAAAGAAACUUUAACUUAAUUUAGAUAUAUUAAUUGAUACAAACUUUUCUGGUAUAUAGCACUUCUUGGCGCAUUGAGUAUUCUUAAUCUUUAAGGCACAUGAAUAUAAUACCUUAGGAAAGAUCUGUUCUCCACACAUUUCCUCUAUAAAGUGCCAAAAAAAAAAUAACGAAGAGCCAGUUUGUCUUCCGCAUCAGUGUGAUUUAGCAUACAUAAAUAAGUAUCUUUUCACACAAAAUAAAAGGUUCAGAACCCAAAGUGUCUGAUUUUUAUAGUGCUUUUUCUUUCCUUUUAAAAAGAUAGCAAGAUGAGGGUAAGAGGUAAUUUAAGAGAAGUAAUCAUCUUCUAACAGCCAGCUUGCAGAAACUAAAACAAAUAUCAAUGAUGUAAAAAUGUUGUUUUGACACUUUGGUAAAUGAAAGUGUGAGAUGAGUAAGAAUAUAUUAUAGGUGCUUGUAUAUCAAAGGCCUGUGAAAAUGGCUGAUUAUAAAGGAGAAAGUUAAUGAUCUCUAAUUGUGUUGUAAUUUAAAUGCAGUAUCACCGUAAUGAAGAGAACAGAUUUGCAUGUUAACAAAAGAAAUAUUAGAGGAGUGAGUGUAGGAUGUUUGGGAUAAUUAAUUCCAUCCUCCACUCCUACAUACAUAUGCAUAUACAAACUCAAUUCAAUUUUAAAGAGAACCCGAAGAACCAAAAAUAGACUGAACACACUUGAUGUUGUAUGGGAGCUUAAAUUACUAUUUUUGUUGUUCUCUGUGACUAUCUCAUUUAGUUUCUAUUGUGUUUGCAAUUUCUUCCAAGGUGAUUUUUAAUGGAUUGAGUAAUGCAUAAAAAUUUGCAGAAGUAUGCAGAAAGUUUGUAUGCAGGGCCAUGUAGAGCUUUUAUCCUACGGUAAAUCCUAGUAGUUUGCUGGUGCUGUGUGAUUUUUUUUUUUUUGUUUAGGGUUUUGUGUGUGUGUGUGUGUGUGUGUGUGUGUGUGUGUGUGUGAAGCUUAUUUAUUCCAUUUC